This is a long non-coding RNA of Lolium perenne, 4836 nucleotides long. RefSeq lists it as uncharacterized. The record is from RefSeq and is a predicted model, not a curated record. NCBI's taxonomy places the organism in Eukaryota, Viridiplantae, Streptophyta, Magnoliopsida, Poales, Poaceae.
UCGCUUCACUCGCAUGAACCCUAGAAACAUGGGUCUAGAGUCUAGAUGUAUUGCUUCCCAUCGUUCAUCUCGGGUGAUUACUGGAUUAGGCUGUUAUACUUAUUCGCGCGCAUCUACUGCUAGCAAUUCAACCACUAUGAUUUGUUUGCUGCCAUUUUUCGGGAUCUGAGGUAUUCAUUUCGUUUCAAGCAUACCACAUCGUUCAGUCGCUUCCUUAAGCUGGAAUAAUACUGGAAACUCCAUUGAUGACCAGCUUCGCGCUAUGUCGUUCCAAUUCCUGAAUGAUCAUCCCUUGGGAUGCUUCACACUUGUGUGGACGCAAAGACACGUCUGAGGAGUUGAGGUUGCUUUGUUAGUGGGCUCAAUGGUUGGGGAACUCUUCUUAAUUCAGUGCACUCUUUCAGUUUUUGGUUUGAUUUCCAAACUGUUAAGUACUGUCAGCAUUUGAUUGAAUUUGAUACCGCAAGCAAAUACUUGCAGUACUUCAAAUGUGGGUCCGUUUGUACCUAUUUCUAGUUUGAAGUAGGGCAGUGUACUCAAUUGCUUCCUUGUUGUGAGGUAUACUCCAGUGAUGACUUAUUUAACCUCGUAUAUCGUUCCAAUUUCUGAAAGCGCAUCCAUAGGAUGCUGCACAUUAUGUGGAGCAGAAGGGACAUCUGAGGAGUUUAAUUCAUUUUUUUCUCGCUUGCUUUCUUGACAAACUUUUUUUCGGUGUUCUCUUGAGACUUUUUGUUUGAUUCUCAAACUAUUUCAUGUUGCCAGCAAUUGGUUGAAUUUGACGCCAAAAGUGAACAUGUUUAGAGCUUCAAAUGGCUCCUUUUUUCAAGAUUUCUUGCUUGAAAUGAUGCAAUGUACCAAUCAGCUUCCUUGAGGUGUGGGCAAUUUGGUUUGAUUCUAAUAUUUUCCAUGGUGCUUGACACUUUUUUUUGUGAAUUUGAUACUGACAAGCUAACAUGUGUGUAGGUUCAAAUUUGAUUAUUUUUUAGAAGUUUCUGGUUUGGGUUUUGGUUAAUUUCUGGGUGGUGAUGUAACUUACUGGGGAACUUUCAAAAUUUCAUUAGCAAUACGACUUGACGAGCCAAAUCAUGGAUUACAGACACACUAGGUAUUGGCUGUGUUGGUCCAGCUGGUACAAACUCUAGGUUUUCACUCACAGAACUGCACUGCUCAAUGGUUGGGGAGCUCUUCUUAAUUCAGUGCGCUCUUUCAGUUUUUGGUUUGAUUUCCAAACUGUUAAGUACUGUCAGCAUUUGGUUGAAUUUGAUACCGCAAGAAAAUACUUGCAGUACUUCAAAUGUGGUUCUGUUUGUACCUAUUUCUAGUUUGAAGUAUUGCAGUGUACUCAGUUGCUUCCUUGUUGUGAGGUAUACUCCAGUGAUGACUUAUUUCACCUCGUAUAUCGUUCCAAUUCCUGAAGGCACUUCCAUAGGAUGCUGCACAUUAUGUGGAGCAGAAGGGACAUCUGAGGAGUUCAAUUCAUUGUUCUUCUCGCUUGCUUUCUUGACAACCUUUUCUUUUUGGUGUUCUCUUGAGACUUUUGUUUGAUUCUCAAACUAUUUCUUGUUGCCGAUAAUUGGUUAAAAUUUGAUGCCGAAAGUGACAAUGUUUAAAGCUUCAAACGGUUCCUUUUCAAGAUUUAUUGCUUGAAAUGGUGCAAUGUACCAAUCUGCUUCCUUGAGGUGUGGGGAGUUUGGUUGAUUCUAAUAUUUUCCAUGAUGUUUGACAGUUUUUUGAAUUUGAUACCGACAAGCUAACAUGUGUGUAGCUCCAAAUUUGAUUAUUUUUACAAAUAUCUGGUUUGCUUUUUGGUUAAUUUCUGGCUGGUGACGUAACUUACUGGGGAACUUUCAAACGUUUCAUGAGCAAUACGAGUUGACGAGCCAAUUCAUGAAUUACAGACACACUAGGUAUUGGCAACGUUGGUCCAACUGGUACGAACUCUAGGUUUUCACUCACAGAACUGCAGUGCUCAAUGGUUUGGGAACUCUUCUUAAUUCAGUGCGCUCUUUCAGUUUUCGGUUUGAUUUUCCAAACUGUUAAGUACUGUCAGCAUUUGGUUGAAUUUGAUACCACAAGCAAAUGCUUGCAGUACUUCAAAUGUGGUUCCGUUUGUACCUAUUUCUAGUUUGAAAUAGUGCAGUGUACUCAAUUACUUAUUUUUUGUGAGGUAUACUCCUGUGAUGACUUAUUUCGCCUCGUAUAUCGUUCCAAUUCCUGAAAGCACAUCCAUAGGAUGCUGCACAAUAUGUGGAGCAGAAGGGACAUCUGAGGAGUUGAAUUCAUUUUUUUUCUCGCUUGCUUUCUUGACAACCUUUUCUUUUUGGUGUUCUCUUGAGACUUCUGUUUGAUUCUCAAAAUAUUUCAUGUUGCCGACAAUUGGUUAAAAUUUGAUGCCGAAAGUGAAAAUGUUUAAAGCUUCAAAUGGUUCCUUUUCAAGAUUUAUUGCUUUAAAUGGUGCAAUGUACCAAUCUGGUUCCUUGAGAUGUGGGGAAUUUGGUUUGAUUCUAAUAUUUUCCAUGAUGUUUGACACUUUUUUGAAUUUGAUACUGACAGGCUACAUGUGUGUAGCUUCAAAUUUUAUUAUUUUUUUAAAUUUCUGGUUUGGGUUUUGGUUAAUUUCUGGGUGGUGACAUAAAUUACUGGGGAACUUUCAAACAUUUCAUGAGAAAUACGACUUGACGAGCCAAUUCAUGAAUUACAGACACACUAGGUAUUGGCAACAUUGGUCCAACUGGUACAAACUCUAGGCGUUCACUCACAGAACUGUACUGCUCAAUGAUUGGGGAACUCUUCUUAAUUCAGUGCGCUCUUUCAGUUUUCGGUUUGACUUCCAAACUGUUAAGUACUGUCAGCAUUUGGUUGAAUUUGAUACGACAAGAAAAUACUUUCAGGACUUCAAAUGUGCUUCCGUCUGUACCUAUUUCUAGUUUGAAAUAGUGCAGCGUAUUCAAUUGCUUCCUUGUUGUGAGGUAUACUCCAGUGAUGACUUAUUUCAUCUCGCAUAUCGUUCCAAAUCCUGAAAGCACAUUCAUAGGAUGUGCACAUUAUGUGGAGCAGAAGGGACAUCUGAGGAGUUCAAUUCAUUUUUUUCUCGCAUGCUUUCUCGACAACUUUUUUUCCAGUGUUCUCUCGCGCCUUUUGUUUGAUUCUCUAACUAUUUCGCAUUGCCGGCAAUUGGUUGAAUUUGACGCCAAAACUGAACAUGUUUAGAGGUUCAAAUGGUUCCCUUUUCAAGAUUUAUUGCUUGAAAUGGUGCAAUGUACCAAUAUGCUUCCUUGAGGUUUGGGGAAUUUGGUUUGAUUAUAGUAGUUUCCAUGAUGUUUGACACUUUUUUUGAAUUUGAUACUGACAAGCUAACAUGUGUGUAGCUUUAAAUUUGAUUAUUUUUUCAUAAUUUCUUGUUUGGUUUUUGGUUAAUUUCCGGGUGGUGACGUAACUUACUGGGGAACUUUCAAACAUUUCAUGAGCAAUACGACUUGACGAGCCAAAUCAUGAAUUACAGACACACUAGGUUUGGAAAAAGCAACACUGGGUAUUACCAUGUGUGGUCCAUUGUAGACUUCAACUCAUCAUCUGCUCUGCACCUUUAUGAUAAUCCCAAUAGAAGCAUUUUCUUCUCUCCAGAGUUAGUGAGACACACUAGGUUUGGAAAAAGCAACACUGGGUAUUACCAUGUGUGGUCCAUUGUAGACUUCAACUCAUCAUCUGCUCUGCACCUUUAUGAUAAUCCCAAUAGAAGCAUUUUCUUCUCUCCAGAGUUAGUGACCCAGUUUCUGUUAAGCUCCCACAGCAUUCUUUAAGUUGAGAUGCCAUCUCAGAUGACACAUAGAUGAUUGGUGGCCCUGAUGCUUGAAUAGCCGAGCAAUAUUUGAGGGUCCAGUUUUGUUUAUGGUGGGAUUGAGACCAUCAAGAUUGUCCUCCAGCAGGCAGGUCCAUUCGGGUGACCUACACUAGAUGAGAAACUGCCAAUAAAGACAGGGGAAACAUGCUGAGAGGGUAAGUCAUCAUAGUUUGCCUGCAAAGCUCGUGUGGUGUGAAGGUCAAGCAUGAAGCCAGGGGUGGAAUGUGCUUGCAAGCAGGUUCAGCGAGCCCAUGCAAAAUUGUUUCUAGGGUCUGUUAUCUCUCAGCAGCAGGGUAGUGAGCAGCCCCAGCCUGGCAUCAUUGAAGGCCAACAGCAGUCUUGGCCAUCAUUAUAUACUAGUAUAACAUUGCUGUUCUCCACCUCGCAUGCCAAUCCCAGUCACAUUGUUCAGUGGUUUCUCAGACUUGAAGAUGUGUGCCCAUCCAUAACGGCAUUCCAGAGUGCAACCAUUAAGAUCGCCUUCGAUUUAAGAAAGCAGUUUGGAAAGCCACAAGAAUCCAUGCCACUUUUACAAAUUUGACAUCUGAUCUACUACUUAAAAGGAUUUCAUUUUGCAGACAGCUGUUCCAAAGAAACUGCUUGCAAUGUGUAUCCAGAUGUCUUACAAGGUGAACGGGGAAGACAGGUUGGAUCAAGGCCAAGUUAGCGAUUUGCCUCCUGGAUUAUAGUGCCUUUUUGUGCGUACCGUAUAGCAUGUUGUGACAGUUGUCUUCAUAUCACAUGUUCGGGGGCAGAGGGAAGACUUCGUAUACUCGUUCAAAUGACAUGUUUGUCCAUCAUUUUACCCAACAUAUUGGAUAGUUGUAGUUGUAGCAGUAUGUCACAUGAGAGGAUAAUAAAAUUUGUUCGACCUCAUCCUUCGAUUAUAGCAGCAGCAAAGGAAAACUGGGGUACUCCUUCCUCAUUGCAAAUAUUUGUACUUUUGUUGUAACUUACACCCUCCGUCCCUUAAUAUAAGACGUUAGUACAUCUAA